CCCAUUAUGGGUGCAUCUGCGAUACGAAUUACGCAGAUUACUGCCGGGUCGUCGAAUAGAAAUUGCGACUUUCAAUACUAUUCAGCGGCAAGCAAUCCAGGAAAUCGAAUCAGCUAGAAUGCCGAUCGGGGUUUCGACUCGGAUUUCGAUGGGGAAUCGAAUAGGAGACGUUUGUAGCCGCGGUCAUUUAACCUUUUGUGAAGUUUUAAGUUUAUUCUACUGUCUACAGUUGGAUGAAAAAUGCCCAUAUAACCGAGGUGAAAAAAUCCUUACAGUAAUAAAAAAAUAAUACUUUGUGCUGAUCCGCAAGCAGGAAGAGCCGGGUUUAUACGGUUUGGAAUCAUUACG
Long non-coding RNA from Armigeres subalbatus, 348 nucleotides. RefSeq lists it as uncharacterized. Lineage: Eukaryota; Metazoa; Arthropoda; Insecta; Diptera; Culicidae. The record is from RefSeq and is a predicted model, not a curated record. The transcript is spliced from 3 exons.